Heterocephalus glaber (naked mole-rat) is the source of this 1039-nucleotide long non-coding RNA. Lineage: Eukaryota; Metazoa; Chordata; Mammalia; Rodentia; Bathyergidae. The record is from Ensembl.
UUAAGAAGCUAUAUUCCACAGGGUGUGGUGGCACACUUCUGUGAUUCCAGCCCUCAGGAAGCUGAGCCAGGAUGAUUCCAAGUUUGAAGGCAACCUGGACUGCACAAUGAGACCCUUUCAUUAAAAAGAGGAGUGGGAGUGAAGGAGGAAGGGUGAAAGAAACCAUGUUUCUCCAUUUAGCACUUGUCAGUGGCUAUUUCAUUAAUACUUUUCAGAGAAGCUGGUUUUACAGGUGUUGCAAAUAAAUUAGUAUCAUUGAAAUGACACAUUCCCAGGAAAACUCCAGAAAAAAAGGAUAUGUUACUUAUAGAAAAUACAUUGUUAACACAGUUAGCUACAAGAUAAUAUUUUGUGGUAGCCGGAAUCUUAGAGUGUGGGAAAUGUCAAUUCUGUGACCACUGGGUAGAUGAGUGGAGUGAUGUUAGUCAGUUCUCUUUGCUUCAGUUCCUUGUUUAGAAGACAAGAGGAAUGGCUGUGUUCAAUGCUUCUCCUUCAGCAUGCAGAAGAAACAGAAAUUUGAACCCACAAAGUACUUUAUUUUUUCUAGCAGUACUAGGGACUGAACCCAAGUGAUGGGUCAGAGACAGCAGGCAGGUAGAGGGUAAAGCACCAUAGAAGCAAAGAGAUGUGUAUGCCAGAGUCAGGUGGGGGAUUUUCAAAUUGUUCCCUCUUCCAACCUUAAGUGAGGAACAUAACUGAAGAAGACCUCAGUGGCUGAUGCCAUAGUUAUGGAAAAUAAGCUCUGGGUUCUAAAUAUGAGAGAUAUACACUGUGGUGAUUAAAGUCAAAGGCUUCAGUUUCAAGGACACUAGGGUAUGAACAUAGGGCCGGGGAUUUAGCUCAGUGGUUUUGUCGCCUGCUGCGCAAGCGCAAAGACCCGAGUUUGAUCCCUGGUACCUAAACCCCCCCCCAAAUCCAAAAAACAUUGAUUCCACUCCUUAUUGACAUAGUCUUGAAUGAUUUAUUUUAUUUUUGCAGUACUAGGGAUAGAACCCAGGUCCUUGUGUAUCAUAGGCCAAUACUCUACCAUUAAACUAUA